UCUAUAGAGCAGAUCACCAAGGUUAUAAAUGGAUUUUUUUCACUGACCUCACCAUACUACUCCAGAUGACCAAAUAUGGGUCAUUGGUAUUUUUGUCACUGAUAUUGGUUGGUCUGGCCCAUGGGAGGAAAACUUAACUCAUUGCAUCAAAUGAGGAAAAGUAAAUGUGCUUCCCAGAGAGAAAACAUUGUUUAUACAUGGAAUUUUAGGUAUGACAACAGGGUUGCCAGGAAUACUUGAAGCAAUCAUCAAAAUACAAGAAUCUAAGCCUGAAAGAAAAUAAGAAUAUUG
Long non-coding RNA from Talpa occidentalis (Iberian mole), 291 nucleotides. RefSeq lists it as uncharacterized. The transcript has 3 exons. NCBI's taxonomy places the organism in Eukaryota, Metazoa, Chordata, Mammalia, Eulipotyphla, Talpidae. The record is from RefSeq and is a predicted model, not a curated record.